GGCCAUAUCACGUUGAAACACCGGUUGUUAUCCGAUCACCGAAGUUAAGCAACGUCGAGCCUGGUCAGUAGCUAGAUGGUUGACCGUGUGUAAGC
Non-coding RNA from Acanthosepion pharaonis, 95 nucleotides. NCBI's taxonomy places the organism in Eukaryota, Metazoa, Mollusca, Cephalopoda, Sepiida, Sepiidae. The record is from the annotation of a GenBank genome assembly.